RNAcentral lists this unclassified non-coding RNA (223 nucleotides) under Hevea brasiliensis (rubber tree). The record is from RNAcentral. Lineage: Eukaryota; Viridiplantae; Streptophyta; Magnoliopsida; Malpighiales; Euphorbiaceae.
AGAGGACUCUCCCUCUCUUCUUCAUCUUUUUCAAUUGAUUCUUGAGUUUAAGCUCAAUUUCUCUUGAAUUAAAAGCACUAUAAAUUUUAUCUAGUCAUAUACAUCCAUAAGAAUAUCACCUUAAGCAAAACCCCUUUCAUUUAAGUGGUUGACAAGCAAAAAAAGGAAGAUUUGGGGCUGGCUAAGGUGAUCUUGGUGGAGCUUAUGGUGGACAAGCUAGAGG